CUGGAGUGGGCUAGAGGCAGAGAGAGAAAGCGCCAUAAAAGGAGAAUGAGGUCCAAGCCCCUGCUUGGCCCCCUUCCCCUGAGGCCUUCCCACCCGCCCCCACCCCCAUUAUGAGCUCAAGGGUCUGAGAAAAGGGGGAUCAGGGAGAAGAGAGAAGGCAGGGGCUGAGCUGACUCCUUAUAGCCUUUCCCUUAGGCAGCACUCUGACGCCAUAAAGCCUCCCCACCUCCACUCAGGCUUUCCUUUUUCAAGGAGAAGGGAGAGCCCUUUUGGGGUUGUCCCUCACCUUGUAGAGGGAAGAGUCAUCUCCACCUUGGAGUGAGUUGGUUGGGGCUGGGGAAGAGACCCCACCCAGUCCCAGCUGGAGAUGGACUAUGAAAUGAUAAGGGGGAACAGGGAGGGGUUCCGUCACAUGCGAGUCCAUGAGGACCGAGCACCCCUGCUCCCUUAGCAGCAGCUGGAUGGAGAGUUGUGGGCUCCGGAGGAAAGGGGCCCCAGGCCCGAGGGAGUGGGCCUAGGAGGGCAUGCGGGAACGGGCCCCCUGCUCUCCCUCCCUCCCGCGGCGCAGCCUUCAGAACACACUGGGACCUGAAUGGGCAGCCAGCCGUGGAAAGCAGAAAAUGCUGCCCAGAGCCCAGUUUCUGAUCCAAGGAUCCGGCCCCAGCUAUCCAAGGAGAAGAUUGAGGGCUGCCAUAUCUGUACCUCGGUGACUCCUGGGGAGCCCCAGGUGCUGCUGGGGAAGGACAAGGCCUUCACCUAUGACUUUGUCUUUGACCUGGACACCUGGCAAGAGCAAAUCUACACAGCUUGUGUGGGCAAGCUCAUCGAGGGAUGCUUCGAGGGCUACAAUGCCACAGUGCUGGCCUACGGACAGACAGGCGCUGGGAAGACGUACACCAUGGGCACCGGCUUCGACAUGAGCACCUCGGAGGAGGAACAUGGUAUCAUCCCAAGGGCCAUAGCCCACCUCUUUGGGGGCAUUGCCGAACGCAAGAAACGGGCUCAGGAGCAGGGAGUUCCUGGGCCUGAGUUCAAAGUCAGCGCGCAGUUUCUGGAGCUCUACAACGAGGAGAUCCUAGACCUGUUUGAUAGCACUCGAGAUCCCGACUCCCGCCACCGAAAAUCCAACAUCAAGAUCCAUGAGGACGCCAAUGGGGGCAUCUACACCACAGGGGUCACCUCCCGGCUCAUCAAUUCCCAAGACGAGCUGAUCCAGUGUUUGAAGCAGGGCGCUCUGUCCCGGACCACGGCCAGCACCCAGAUGAACGUGCAGAGUUCCCGCUCUCAUGCCAUCUUCACCAUCCACCUGUGCCAGAUGCGUGUCUGCGCCCGGGCCGACCUGGUUAAUGGUGAGGUGCCCGGCCUUCCUGAUGGUACGACCCCCACCAACGAGUAUGAGACGCUCACAGCCAAGUUUCAUUUCGUGGAUCUGGCCGGCUCCGAGCGGCUGAAACGGACGGGGGCCACAGGCGAGAGGGCCAAGGAGGGCAUCUCCAUCAACUGUGGCCUGCUGGCCUUGGGGAACGUGAUCAGUGCCCUGGGAGACCAGAGCAAGAAGGCCGUGCAUGUGCCAUAUCGGGACUCCAAACUCACACGGCUCCUCCAGGACUCCCUCGGGGGAAACAGCCAGACAAUUAUGAUCGCUUGUGUGAGCCCUUCGGAUCGGGACUUUAUGGAGACCCUGAACACCCUCAAGUACGCCAAUCGGGCCCGCAACAUCAAGAACAAGGUGGUUGUGAACCAGGAUAAGACCAGCCAGCAGAUCAGUGCCCUUCGCGCAGAGAUUGCCCGCCUGCAGAUGGAGCUGAUGGAGUACAAGGCGGGUAAGCGAGUGACUAGGGAGGAUGGCUCAGAGGGCUACAGUGACCUGUUCCGAGAGAACGCCAUGCUGCAGAAGGAGAACGGCACACUGCGGAUGCGGGUGAAAGCCAUGCAGGAAGCCAUUGAUGCCAUCAACAACCGAGUCACCCAGCUCAUGAGCCAGGAGGCCAACCUGCUUCUCGCCAAGGCUGGAGAUGGCAAUGAGGCCAUUGGUACCCUAAUCCAGAAUUAUAUCCGAGAGAUUGAGGAGCUUCGCACAAAGCUUCUCGAGAGUGAAGCAAUGAAUGAGUCUCUCCGCCGUACCCUCUCACGGACCUCAUUGCGGUCUUCCUACCCCAUGAGUAGCUCCCAAAGCCAGGGAACUUUGUUGAGCAGCCCAUCGAUUUCCAUGGAAACAGAGGCCUCAGAGGUGAUCCGUAAGGCUAAGCAGGACUUGGAAAGGCUAAAGAAAAAGGAGACCAGGCAACGGAGAAAAAGCCCGGAGAAGGAGGCCUUUAAAAAGAGAGCAAAGUUACAGCAAGAGAAUGGUGAAGAAACAGAUGAGAAUGAAGCUGAGGAGGAGGAAGAGGAGGAUCGGGAUGAAAGUGGUUGUGAGGAAGAGGAAGGACGGGAAGAUGAGGAUGAAGAUUCGGGCAGUGAGGAGAGCCUGGUGGAUUCAGACUCGGAUCCUGAGGAGAAGGAGGUGAACUUCCAAGCUGACCUGGCAGACUUGACUUGUGAGAUUGAGAUCAAGCAGAAGCUGAUUGAUGAACUGGAGAACAGCCAGCGCCGGCUGCAGACGCUGAAGCACCAGUACGAGGAAAAGCUGAUCCUGUUACAGAACAAGAUCCGGGACACCCAGCUCGAGCGGGACCGGGUGCUCCAGAACCUCAGCACCAUGGAGUGCUACACGGAGGAGAAAGCCAACAAGAUCAAGGCGGAUUACGAGAAGCGUCUGCGGGAGAUGAAUCGGGACCUGCAGAAGUUGCAGGCAGCCCAGAAGGAACACGCGCGGCUGCUCAAGAACCAGUCCCGGUACGAGAGGGAGCUGAAGAAGCUUCAGGCCGAGGUGGCGGAGAUGAAGAAGGCCAAGGUGGCUUUGAUGAAGCAAAUGAGGGAGGAGCAGCAGCGGAGGCGGCUGGUAGAAACCAAGAGGAACCGGGAGAUAGCCCAGCUAAAGAAGGAGCAACGGCGGCAGGAGUUUCAGAUCCGGGCUCUGGAAUCUCAGAAGCGCCAGCAGGAGAUGGUGUUGAGGAGGAAAACCCAGGAGGUGUCAGCUCUGCGACGCCUGGCCAAACCCAUGUCGGAGCGGGUGGCAGGGCGGGUCGCAGCAAAGCCUCCCAUGCUGGACUCGGGGGCAGAAGUGUCAGCCAGCACCACAUCAUCCGAGGCAGAGUCUGGAGCCCGCUCAGUCUCAAGCAUCGUGCGUCAAUGGAACCGAAAGAUCAACCACUUUCUGGGGGACCCAGCGACCCCAGUCAAUGGCACCCGUCCUGCCAGGAAAAAGUUCCAGAAGAAAGGGGCUAGCCAGAGCUUCAGCAAAGCUGCCAGGUUAAAGUGGCAGUCCCUAGAACGGCGUAUCAUCGACAUUGUCAUGCAGAGGAUGACCAUUGUCAACCUAGAGGCUGAUAUGGAGAGGCUUAUCAAGAAAAGGGAAGAGCUGUUUCUCCUUCAGGAAACACUGAGGAGAAAAAGGGAGAAGCUUCAGGAGGAGAGCCCAGAGGAGGAGAAGGGCCUACAGGAGCUGAGUGAAGAGAUUGAGGUGCUCGCAGCCAAUAUAGACUAUAUUAAUGACAGCAUUUCUGAUUGCCAGGCCACCAUUGUACAGCUGGAAGAGACCAAGGAGGAACUCGAUUCCACGGACACAUCAGUGGUCAUCAGCUCCUGCUCUUUGGCAGAAGCUCGACUCUUGUUGGACAACUUUCUCAAAGCCUCCAUUGAAAAGGGUCUACAGGUGGCCCAGAAGGAGGCCCAGAUUCGGCUGUUGGAGGGGAGGCUGAGGCAGACGGACAUGAACAACUCCUCUCAGAACCAUCUGAUCCUGGAUGCCCUCCGAGAGAAGGCUGAGGCUCACCCUGAACUGCAGGCUCUGAUCCACAAUGUGCAGCAGGAGAACGGAUAUUGCAGCACAGAUGAGGAGAUCUCCGAGUUCUCAGAGGGAAGCUUCUCCCAGUCCUUCACCAUGAAAGGUUCUACAAGCCAUGAUGAUUUCAAAUUCAAGGGGGAGCCCAAGCUGUCGGCCCAAAUGAAGGCGGUGUCGGCUGAGUGCCUGGGCCCCCCGCUGGACAUCUCCACCAAGAACAUCACUAAAUCUCUGGCCUCCCUCGUGGAGAUCAAGGAGGAUGGCGUGGGCUUCUCCAUCCGAGACCCCUACUACCGAGACAAGGUCUCCCGGACCAUCAGCCUGCCCACCCGCGGCAGCACCUUCCCUCGGCAAUCGCGAGGCUCUGAAACCUCCCCGCUGACCCGCAGGAAAUCCUAUGACCGAGGGCAGCCUAUCAGGUCCUCGGACAUGGCCUUCACACCCCCUUCGUCCCCCCCUACGCGGCCCCGCAAUGACCGUAACGUCUUCUCUCGCCUCACCAGCAAUCAGAGCCAGGGGUCGGCACUGGACAAGUCUGAUGACAGCGACUCCUCUAUCUCGGAGGUCCUGAGGGGGAUCAUCAACCCCAUCGGCGGGGCCAAGAGCGCCCGGACGGCCCCCCUGCAGUGCGUCUCGGUGGCCGAGGGUCACACCAAGCCCAUCCUUUGCUUGGAUGCCACAGACGAGCUGCUCUUCACUGGAUCAAAAGACAGAAGCUGCAAGAUGUGGAACCUGGUGACGGGGCAGGAGAUUGCCGCUCUGAAGGGACAUCCCAACAAUGUUGUCUCCAUCAAGUACUGCGCUCACCUGGGCCUGGUGUUUUCCGUCUCCACGUCCUACAUCAAGGUGUGGGACAUCCGGGAUUCCGCCAAGUGCAUUCGCACCCUCACGUCCUCAGGUCAAGUGAUCUCCGGAGACGCCUGCGCAAGUACCACCAACCGCACCAUCACCAGCGCGCAGGGCGAGCACCAGAUCAACCAGAUUGCCCUCAACCCCACCGGCACUACCCUGUACGCUGCCUCUGGCAAUUCAGUCCGUGUCUGGGAGCUCAACAGAUUCCAGCCCAUUGGCAAGCUGACCGGCCACAUUGGCCCCGUGAUGUGCUUGACCGUCAGCCAGACUUCCAAUCAGCACGAUCUUGUGGUGACAGGCUCCAAAGACCACUAUGUGAAGAUGUUUGAGCUGGGAGAGUGUGUGAUGGGCAACAUCAGCCCUACCCACAACUUUGAGCCCCCGCACUAUGACGGCAUCGAGUGCCUCGCCAUCCAGGGCGACAUCCUGUUCAGCGGCUCCCGGGACAAUGGCAUUAAGAAGUGGGAUCUGGAGCAGCAGGAGCUCAUUCAGCAAAUCCCAAACGCGCACAAGGACUGGGUGUGCGCUCUGGCCUUUGUUCCCGGCCGGCCCAUGCUGCUGAGCACCUGCCGAGGGGGCUUCAUCAAGGUCUGGAACGUGGAAAACUUCACCCCCAUUGGAGAGAUCAAAGGUCAUGACAGCCCCAUCAAUGCCAUCUGCACCAACUCCAAGCACAUUUUUACGGCCUCCAGUGACUGCCGGGUAAAGUUGUGGAGUUACGUCCCUGGACUCACCCCCUGCCUUCCACGCCGCGUCCUGGCUAUAAAGGGCCGUGCCACUAGCCUGCCUUGACCCUUUUCUUCCCUCCCCCUUCCCUCAUCUUUCCUCUCAGUCCUCCUUUCUCUCCUCUUCUUCUCCCCUUCUUCCCUCUUCCUUUCUUUCUCCACUUCGAUCCAAGCUGCUUCUUAACGUGAUCUGACAGUGAAACUCUGGAACGGAAGGCGGCUGCCCAGUGACACAUUCUAGGAGCAGAAGCUGGAGGGGGCACUCAGAUUCCACAUUUCUCCCAGCAGCCUGCACAUCGUCCAAAGGGAAGCAUCUUCAGACAAUCUAGGACCCACAGAUCCAGGGCAGAUGCUGCUGGUGGUUCUGGGCAAGAGGAUUUGGGGAUUCUUCCCCUGGCCCUCUCCUGGCCUUCCUGAGGGGACAGUGUUCCCAAACCAUCUCCUGAUGGGCUGGGGACCCCCUACGGGGAAGGAUAUUUAAGCUGUGAAGCUCUUUGCCCACUCUUUCUCCUGAAGCUCCUCAGCUACUUCCAGGUUCGGCCCCGUUUUCUUCCUGCUAAAUCCUCCCCUUCUCCCCCCAACCUCAGGAGCUCUCCAGCUGGCCUGUGAGAAGACCUUGGGGAAAACUUUCCGAGUUCCCCCACCUCCAGCUCCCCAUGGUGGGGAGGGGAUUCUGAGCCAGGCUGAGGGGAUCCCCCAGCCACAUUUUAACUAGGAAAAGACCCUUUUUUCCUCUUCCCUUCUUUCCUCUUCCAUCUGACACAGUCUUUCAGAUGGCAUCUUUCCUCCAAUCCUCUCUUGCCCUUCUGAGUCCUUAACCUCCUCACCCAAAAAGGAGGUCAAAGGAAAAAGCACCACUCUAGUAACCUUGUAAAUUUGGGGAUGGACACCUGCCCACCCCACCCCUGAGCCUUCUCCCGUGGGGCCGCCCCCAUCUCAUCCCCUGGGACUCUGCCCUCCCCCUGCGGGGGGCCCAUCCUUCAGAAAGCUCCAUCUGAGGGGAGAGGCACAGACCCAGCCUGGUCAUUUCAUCUAUUUAACUAUUUAUUUAUUUAUUUAUUGCUGGCACUUCCUGGAUACCAACUUGAAGUUUCUUCUGAUGCUUUCUGUCCCUUGAGCUGUCCAGGUCCAGGGAAUCCUAAGGAAGGGGAAAGGCAGGGGACAAAAUGGGGAGGGAAGCCUGGGGAGGGGGCGGGAAGGGUCCCCAAUGGGAAAGGGUGCAUGGACAGCACUCCUGAGCCUCUGCUUCUGAGCCAUUCUAGCCUUUGACACAUUCUGGGAUCAACUGGGGAAGAAUCCCUUUUGAUUUCUUCCCUCCCCAUCUCCCUGCCCUCCUUCCUAAUCCCCCUCCCCAAAUGCCUCCCACUUCUGGGCUAUUCCUGGCUUUCCUGUCCGAGGGGGAAGCAUCCUAGCCCCCGGUUCACCGCAUGCCAUCAGACGCUCCAGUGCCUUCCACCCCCCUGGGGCCUGGCACCCAGAGCUGGGUGACCCGCUGCCAGCCACACGUGUCUUGCUGCCUCCUCUUCCAUCCUGACGACUGCUGCCUGCCCUCCUAGCCGGAUCUAACUUCAGGGAGGUCUCGAUCUCUUGCCCCCCACCCCCACCCCCUGCCACAUGCUAUGUUCCAAACUUCAUCAAGGGGGGAAUUCCUGCCCCAUUCCCUCAUCACUUAAGAAGCAGCUUUUGGAUCCUCUCCCUUGUCUCAUGGUACUGUGUAUAGUAGGAUGUCUUGAGUAGUAAGGACUAAGUUUUAGGGUCUGUUCCUUUGCCCCUCCCAUGCCUCUCCCCACCACGCCCUGGGAUAGGAUGGUGUUUUAUUUCCUGGGCAUGGUGGGGAGUGGGUUCAGAAGGUUCUCCAUGUUCUGACUCCACCAUCCCCCCCAGUUCUUCUCCAGCUCCCUUUUCUAUGGUUAUUCAAGAGACACAUUUUCAAGCCUUAAAACUGGAAUGAAAUAAGGGAGAAUCAUUACCCACUAAGACCCAAAUACCCUUUGGGGAUUUUUUUUUUUUUUUUGGCCUGGGGGAGGGAGGGGGAAGGUUAUUGGAUUGAAAGAGGCUCUGGUUUUUUUUCUUGCCCAGGGCCCAUUUGCUAGGUGAAUUUUGUAUUAAAUUAAUGUCUGGGUUUCCCCUUCCGGGUGGAACCAGUGAACUCAAAGACGCCCAGGGAAAACUUCUUUCCCCAUCACACGCCAGCCCUUUGCUUGUCUGGCUUCCUCCCACCGGGCGCGGACACAGCGGGAUUCGGCAUCCAGAGCCAGGGCCGGGAGCUGAUGUCUUGGAGGGAGCCUCUGGAAGUGGACGCGAGCUUUCCUCCCCCGUCCCACCGCGCGGACCGGCAGGAGACGGGGCCCCCCCGCAGGCCCGGGUCCCUCUUAGAUUCUGCACAAAAGGUGACUAGAAGACAACAGGGGGGGCUCUCCUCUCGCUGGAGGAAACGGCUUUUGCAUUUCAGGCUUUCUGCAUUUUCCGUUGUCUGAGAGGAAAAAACUUGCGGGGGAGCAGCCGGUGCCGUCUUUCCCCAGGGUGACCCGGUCCUUCUAGCGUCAGCAGACCAACACAUCCCCCCACCAAGCAGCGGAGUGACUUUGCAGAAUGACUGUUCACAGCUCCUCUCUUUGCUGGACAUGGGCUGAAAUUUGGGGUCAUUUGGUUGCAGGAAGAAAAGAAAUGAAGUUUUGGUCUUCGGGGAACAAUAGACAGACAGUGUCACUGAUGGCUUGUUACUCUCUCCCGGCCCCCGUGCUUGGGAUGGGGGGACCGAGCUUGGCGAGUUCGGGUCUCAUUCACCUCCCCUCCGCCCAAGCAAGCCCGUGUUUGUUUGCGGCCCCUCCCCUCCGCCACACUCUGGGAGAUGGGGGUUGCUGCUUACAAACGCUGGACAAACAGAGAAGACUGUGUCGUUCCCCCCCCCCAGCCCCCUUGGCUUGGUCCCGCCUGCCCUGUCAGGGGUCGCCGCCCCCGGUGAUGGGGACUAGAGUAGGAGAUUUUACUGGGUUCCCACUCAUGUUUGAUCCCAAGGUCCCCCGUGGUUGUUGUCUGCCCCCUUUGUUGUUGAUGUCGGGUAAGCUACCUCAUGGCUGGACCUGGGCUUUGCUAUAUGUGAGUGAACUGGCUUUCCAGAAACUUGAAAUCCGGGGACCCGGACGGGGUCGCCCCAAUCUUGGGCCAUGGGGCAGCUAAGCUGGAAGGGAGCCGGGGUCUCAGGGCUUCCUUUGGAGGGAUUGAGGCGCCCGGGUGUUCAGUCUGAGCCAGAGAAUGGUUGGGAGCAGGGACUGCAACCGCACAAGUAUUUACAAGUAUCUGAAGUGUUAGAAGCACAAAACGAUUGUUUUCUGAGCACAAGGCCCAUAGAACCUGAGCACAAGCCCUACACUGAGGACGCUUAGACCCAGCCCUGGAGCACAGGAAGAGAGGCCCUGAGGCCUCCGGGCAGAAGAGAUUCCUACUGGCCAGUGUGUCCUGGGGGCCCUUUCCCAUAGACCGGUCCCAAGGGCUCUACUUGGGGAAGGGCCUGCUGUGCCUUGGGCACUAAUGAGAGGUAGUAAUAGAAAGGAUUGAAUAAGAGGCCACCCCAGUGUGUCCUGUCCUGUAAGCUGGGGCCAUAAGACAUCCCCACCGUUCCCCAAAGCUUGGGAGCUUUGAGCCCCAGGCCCUGAUGGGGACCACUCCUGUCUCUAAUAGCCUAAAUGAUUUUUAAAAAAAGAGAGACACCGGGUCUCCUGGGUUAGGACUCUUAGCUAGGGCUCAGAUUUUCAAGCACAGUAUUCUUGUCCUUUACAGUAUUAACUCCAUAAGUUAGUGGCAGCUCAGUCCUGAGCGGGCUUUUCUGUAAUAGACCCUGGAGUGAGCGCUGGGGAGAGAGAGCAAAGGAAGGAGGAGGGUGUUGGUGCUGGCUUUCAGCUGGGGGAAUGGGAAUCCCGCAUGGAGGUGAAAGUUGGAACAGGAGAUCCAGAAGGGACCCUAGAGGCCAUCUCUUCCCAUCCACUAAUGUAAUCUGAGCCAUUUGCAAAAAGUAAGCUGAUAGUGGUUGAGCAUCUGUGAAAACCCAUACCUGCGGGUGGGAUUUUUCCAAUCUCAUAGGAAAGGAUGAGGUCGGGCCCCUCUGUUGCCCUUCACUGUACCCCCUGGAAGCCUGCCCUCUCACUUCACCUGGAUGGGCAGGUCCCGUCUUUGCCAGGUUGGCAUCCCAGGGUGUCUGGGUUGGCGUUGCCCGUUGUGCUGCUGCCCUAUUACCGUGCCUCUAGUGCCAGGACACCACCCCCCUCACACACCCUCACCCAGCUGGUCUGGAUCCUUUGCCAGGCUGGUCUCUCCGCCUUCCCCGAACUGCAGGGGCUUCUCCCCCCGACGAUGCCCUUGGUCUCCCUCCUGGCCAGAUACCACUCAUCAAAGACUGACCUUCUAUUCCUCUGGUUCCUAAUAAUGUUUGCAAGUCCAGGACGGGGAAAGGUUUGUAGAGACGCAGUUUAACCACCAUCCUGGACUGCCCUUCAACCUCCCCAACCCCAGUAUCGCCAUCCCUCCCUCUCCCCAGUGCACCGCUGGGGGCUUGGACUCUCAGCUAGGACCCUGCUCCCUUUUCCACCAUUGUUAGAGUUCCUGAGACCCCAAAGUCCGCCAGCCCCAAAGGAGCAGGAGUGUGUGCAGAGGAGAUCCCUCCCUUGACCUGGCCACCCACUCUUGUCUAGAGGCUCCAGGGUCAGAUGUUGUCCUGGCUCCUCUCUGUGACGUGUAUAGCACAAGGUGUAUAUAUGUUUUGUACCUUUGCGGACAACUGUACAUAGUGUAAGAAAGUUAUUUAAGCCUCACGCUGUACAUUUUUGUUUUCAACCUAGAUGUGUUGGUUCCCAGAAGGUCUUCGUAAAUAAAGCCAAAAUGGCCAUUGUUUGUGGA
Sarcophilus harrisii (Tasmanian devil) is the source of this 10353-nucleotide RNA transcript. It is a transcript of the gene named kinesin family member 21B, with no coding region annotated. The transcript has 36 exons. Lineage: Eukaryota; Metazoa; Chordata; Mammalia; Dasyuromorphia; Dasyuridae. The record is from RefSeq and is a predicted model, not a curated record.